This 906-nucleotide ribosomal RNA is filed under the name Trichophyton mentagrophytes. RNAcentral describes it as "LSU rRNA". It matches the Rfam family "Eukaryotic large subunit ribosomal RNA", at positions 38 to 964 of the family's 3401-position model. The record is from RNAcentral. Lineage: Eukaryota; Fungi; Ascomycota; Eurotiomycetes; Onygenales; Arthrodermataceae.
GCAUAUCAUGAGCGGAGGAAAAGAAACCAACAGGGAUUGCCCCAGUAACGGCGAGUGAAGCGGCAAGAGCUCAAAUUUGAAAUCUGGCCUCCCCCGGGGGCCCGAGUUGUAAUUUGCAGAGGAUGCUUCGGGUGCGGCCGCCGUCUAAGUUCCUUGGAACAGGACGUCAGAGAGGGUGAGAAUCCCGUCUUGGGCGGGCGGUCCGCGCCCGUGUGAAGCUCCUUCGACGAGUCGAGUUGUUUGGGAAUGCAGCUCUAAGCGGGUGGUAAAUUUCAUCUAAAGCUAAAUAUUGGCCGGAGACCGAUAGCGCACAAGUAGAGUGAUCGAAAGGUUAAAAGCACCUUGAAAAGGGAGUUAAACAGCACGUGAAAUUGUUGAAAGGGAAGCGCUUGCGGCCAGACUCGGGGGCGGGGUUCAGCGGGUGCUCGUCGCCCGUGUAUUCCUCGUUUCCCGGGCCAGCAUCAGUUUCGACGGCCGGUCAAAGGCCCCCGGAAUGUGUCGUCUCUCGGGACGUCUUAUAGCCGGGGGUGCAAUGCGGCCCGUCGGGACUGAGGAACGCGCUUCGGCUCGGAUGCUGGCGUAAUGGCCGUAAGCGGCCCGUCUUGAAACACGGACCAAGGAGUCUAACAUCCACGCGAGUGUUCGGGUGUCAAACCCGUGCGCGCAGUGAAAGCGAACGGAGGUGGGAGCCUUAGGGCGCACCAUCGACCGAUCCUGAAGUCUUCGGAUGGAUUUGAGUAGGAGCGUGGCCGUUGGGACCCGAAAGAUGGUGAACUAUGCCUGAAUAGGGUGAAGCCAGAGGAAACUCUGGUGGAGGCUCGCAGCGGUUCUGACGUGCAAAUCGAUCGUCAAAUUUGGGCAUAGGGGCGAAAGACUAAUCGAACCAUCUAGUAGCUGGUUCUGCGA